Molecule: ribosomal RNA, 253 nt
Filed under: uncultured bacterium
Lineage: Bacteria
Description: partial 16S ribosomal RNA
Rfam family: Bacterial small subunit ribosomal RNA
Source: RNAcentral
UACGUAGGGUGCGAGCGUUAAUCGGAAUUACUGGGCGUAAAGCGUGCGCAGGCGGUUUUGUAAGCCAGAUGUGAAAUCCCCGGGCUUAACCUGGGAAUGGCAUUUGGGACUGCAAGGCUUGAGUUUGGCAGAGGAGACUGGAAUUCCUGGUGUAGCAGUGAAAUGCGUAGAUAUCAGGAGGAACACCGGUGGCGAAGGCGGGUCUCUGGGCAGUAACUGACGCUGAGGAGCGAAAGCGUGGGGAGCGAACAGG